ACAGUCCAAAAGCUCACUGCGUGUAUUUGCAGCCAUGCCUUAGCUGAAGAUGCAGUGUUUGGGCCUCAUCUCUGGUUUCUUAACAAUGUUUCUGUAAAUUGCAGCACUUGCUGGAAGGAGACAAGACUUGGGAAAGAAGAUGGAAAAGUUCUUAGAAGUAAAAGUUGAUCAAGUUCAGCAAUUAUCUGGUCUGUGUAUCUGUGUAUGCCUGGACGUGUAUACAUGCAAUUACUACAGAGCCAGGCUGAAGCUUGUAAAUAAGAACCACAAUAACAAGGCAGAUAUAAAAUAAACAGCUCAGGAGAUCAAAGAGAGAAGCACUCAAUAUAUGUGAAACAGAAUAUCAGACAUAGCGCUAAAUAGGAUCAGACUGGAAACUUAAACCACCACUGUGCCAAGUCCAAGGCUGGAAUAAGUUCAUGGAGUUUCGUGGUAAACCAGGGAUGAGUUUGGCAUGGAGUGAACAUUUUGUUCUCGGAGCUAUUGUCUUGAGCUCCUGAACCAGCUAUUUCCUGCCAAACUCAGCUGGCCUGAAGGUCCAUCCUCCAGUUCCCUGAGGUGAUGGGCGCAGAGAUUCUGUGCUUUGUCUUACAGGAGAACUAGUGCUGGAGCUGUCAUGCUGCCAUCUGCUUGCCUUUGAGAAGAACAGAAGGGGCUCAGGACAGGGGACAUUCCUUCAGUCACCAUCAAAACCCAUGAAGUGUGAGAAGGGCUGCUCCAUUUUAUUGUUUUCUGUUCUUGACGGCUGCUGUACUGCCCUCGCCACCACAGGACCCACAGGCUGGGCUUGCCUGUGCUACAUGGUGCAACCAGACUCUGCCAAAUGUGGGUCAGCAACUUUCAUCCUUUCCCUCAGGAGAAAGAGGAGUUCUCUGUGUGUGUGUUGGUGUUUCUUUUGACUACUUGUGGCUCAAGUAGUCUUUGACUUGUUAGGUCAAAGAAGUGCAUCUUAACAAAAAUCAGGAAUGGAGAGGUCUGUGAUGACCUAUGGGUGCCUUUAUGAGUUCGUUCUAUGAAGCCUUGCUCCUGAGGAAGUUCUGUUUCUCACAAAGUUGACUGUGCCAAAGAAAUGGUGAUAUUUACCUUGGUCAGGGCUUGGGAUGCCUGCACCCAGAAUCAUACAUACGGCUUGAUAGCCAGCACUGAAAGAAAAUAAUAUUUGUGCUUGUGUUUGCAGUAGCUCAUGCUACUUGCUGCUAGCUGAAAGUUCCAAGUGGCUGAAUACUUCAGAUCUAGAUAUGCUGUGCUGCCAUAGCGCAAAUAGGAGACUUGACAAGUUCAAUUACCACUAGGUUAUGAUUUGUCAGAUUGACAAAUCCUGACAGGUAACAAAAUUACCAUCUGAACAGAGACGGGAAAACACUAGUAAUACUUCCAUGUAAAAGCUUUGUGUAUGAAAUGAACUAAAAAAAAAAAACUAAACAGAACAAAAUAAACCCACAGCCAACACACAAUGUGCAGACUCAAAGAGAAGACUUCAGACUCUUAUGCACCAACCUGUACAUUCACAUUCAAUUCCAAAAGGCCCUUUUCCAUGCCUGUGCUGAUUUAGAUCCAGAUUUGGAUCAUCCUGCUGAUUAUGAUCCAUAUAUGGCACCUGAUUGGAAGGACUCUCUGCAAUCUGCAUGUUGCUGACGUUUGAUUCAUGCCUGCUAAGGCAUUUCCCCAAGAGGAAGUCUUUUGGUUCACUUCUGUGGCAAUGACUUGAGGGCAUUUUCAUUUCUGUGAUCUCAUCAGACCUCACAACAAAACAGAGCCAAAUAUGCUUGGCAUUUGGCUAGAAGACUUUAUGAAAACCAGUAAGCAAGAACGGCAUGAAGUUCUGCCAGUGAAUCAGUAGGGGCGCUAUGCACUGGGCCCAUCAGUAAAUGAGUACACUUAAAUGUGCAUGAACAUUUGAAUGUAUGCAAAUGUGGAGAGAGGCCAAAUCAUCUUUCUGCAUCAGCAGAACCCUGUGCUAAUUGCCCUGUGAUACCACUGGGAUGCUGCUGCAUGCCUAACAGUGAGCUGGCAGGUACGAUAAAUGAAUGGAAAGUUGGGUGAAGUUUAAAAAAAGUCUGAUUUCUCAGGUUAUAUGGUCUUUGGCCUCCACCAUUAUGUUGUUCUCUUAAGUCCCAGAAUUUUUAUUUGCAAUAUCAUCAAAAAACUCCUGCUAGUUUGCACGCAAGCAGACCCUCUGGCAUGUGUUGCCUGAGUCCAUUGUUUGUUUGUCUGGCCUUUGUAUCUGGGUGUGGAGUAGAGCAUUGGAAGAAGGCAUAAGAAGCCCUCAGUCUUGUCUUUACAAAACCCUAGUGUUAUACACAGACUAAGGAGUUAACAGAUCAUGGAGCUUUUCUGUAACAGAUUUAGAAAAGCAGAAACCAAGGUUAUUUACUGUUCCCACACUCUGCACUCAGAGCAGUUUUAAAUUGCUAGGUUAACUAGCCAUUCCUGAAAGAAAUUUUCUGUUCACCAAUGUAAUCUUUGUGGUUGAAGCAGAAAUUACUUACAGACAGUGAAAUAUGUCUUGCAAAGGCAAGCUUCAGCCAAUGGAAUAUUUUAAAAUUCAGCUGUGAUAUAUGUUAGGUUCUUUCUGGCUGGGGGUUAGUUUGAUCUAUACCUUUUCAUGCAGACAGUCAGAAGAAAUGUCUUAUUUGCUAAGAGACAUGUCAUGGAGAUAUGAUGUAAAGAAAAACAUAUUCAAAAAUUGCUCUCAGUUCUAUUGUAGUUACUGCUAAUAGCACUGAGAUGUAGUGUAAGCACACCACAAGCCAACUUCUGAUGCCAAUUACAUCAGUGUAAAUGAGAUUAGAAAUUGGCCCAAGCCUCUAGGUUUAAACAUGACUGUUUUGAACUUUAUUUUCAGGACAGAUAAUGUUUUCGAGGAAAACAAGGCACUUGUUAAUUUUAGCAGUUUUGUCUCAGCACAGUUUGGAAACAGUUCUGAUAUAUUCUGAGCACUUGGCUUUAUUUUGCUGUUUGUUGUAUUGCCUGAGCAUCAGCACAACUCAGCCUGUCAGAUGAGAUGUUUCAAUGAACAAAAUACAGGUUCGAAGGCUGGGGACCAAUAAUGAGAGAAAUGCAAACAACCGUCCUUAGGCAUGGAUUUCAUAUUUUGUGAAUGACAUAUUUUCCUCUCUGGUAGGUCUGUACUAGGUCUAACUCAAUUCCAUCUGGUAUUCAGUGCUUAGGCUGCUUAUUAUUGGAUGUAGAAAUCCAUAACAUAUUUCAAACAGAUCAACGGUAUCAGAAAACUUGCCAUCAUGCAGGAGUAAAACAAUCCAGUAAGAUAAGAAUUAAUUUAUUUUCCUUGGAGCUGUAAUCUUUUUGGAUACUCAAAAAACAAUGUUUUUUUGACCUCUUGAUUAAUUGACAUACUUACAGAAAAGAAACAACAUUUGUCUUAUGCACAAAACAUCUGAAUACAAACCUGAAUCUGUCCCAAGGAAAAAUAAUUGGGACUGAUACUAUUUAGGACAUCAAAAGUCUCAGGUAACUUCUAAGCUUCACUUAUACUCUUCUUUUGAAACUUGGCAAGAGGCUUCUGUGCUGGCCUUUAGUACAGGCAUUGUUGUUGCUGUGAAUGUUACCAAGCUAACUUGAGAUUCAGGCCAAAGAUGUGGACCUAAAUGUACUUUCCAGAGAAGAUGAGUGUGCAAAGUUCAGUUUUCAAAGAAAAAAAGCAACCAAGGUGUCCUCAUGGAAGAUCAAGGCUCUUAAAAAAAGUUCUGCAAGAAUUACAGUCCAAACCAAGUCAACUGAGAGCAAGGAACUAACCAAGGAACACAAGAAUGCAGGAAAACAUGUGAAAGAUCUAAUCACUAAUGAGAAACAUUUACUCCCUCACUCUCUGGAUUGUGUGCUGGUCUUCCGUUCAGUUUUUCUUUUUUUUUAUUUUUUUAAAAAAGUAUUUUCUGUGCUAUAAUUCACAACAGCUGGAAUCAUUUUGUGUGUAUAUGUGCGUGCAUGUGUGUAUGCAUCGGACAAAAGAACAUUACCAACUUGAAAAGGAAAAGGAUGGGCACUGGUUUUGGAACUUGGCUCUGAAGGGGAUGCAUAAUGAUAUGAGAAAGAUUAAGUAAGUGGAGGAAGCUGGGGGAUCUUCUAGCCGCAAGGCUGCUGCAAUGUGGGUGGGCUCAGUGAGGGUCUCAGCACACCCUGUCCUACCAGUGAUACCCUGACCUGGGUUCAGAAAUUUCACAGUCCCGUGGAACAAGACAGUGGAUACAUUCCCUGCAAAGCUUUCUUCAACCAAAAUCAGUUUGGAUUGAGGCCUGGCCAGUGACUGAUAGCUGUGCACAGUAAUUUCAGUUUCUUUUACAUAAACAUAAUGAGGCGUUGUUUAUUGUGGUCCUGAAAGCUUUGGAUUUGAGAUAUUGGGGAAAACAAACAAAGAGACACUUUGCGAGCUCUCUGAGCAGUAAAUGGUUCCCCUUGGCAUGCUCUGACAGGCCAUUUCAUUUUAGCUUUGCUGAAUCAGCUUAAUGGGGAAAAUUCAAAACUCAUUGCCAAACUCUUAUGGCAAUUUCUCUUUACCACAGUGGUCAUAAACAGAUGUUGUUAUCCUCUAUAUUGGGAACCAAAUAUUCCUUGGGGUAGGUUUGUGUAGGAAGUGCAGAUUGCUCCAAAACUAGGGAAAGGCUGAGGGUUAAGGGCGUGCACAGUGGAACACUUGGGUUUGUCACGUGGAACACGCGAAUUCCAUCAAAAAUUGACAUGUGUGACACUGGCCAAUGUGACACCAAAACAUGUCACUACCUGUGUUGCAUCAAAUACAACUUGGAAGAGGAGGGGCCAGUUCUCGUAUUUUUAUCUCAUUAAAUGAUGUGAAUGCAAUAUAUAUAAAAUAACCAUCUCCCUUCCACAAGGCUUCUGCAGCACAAUGACACAACUAAGCCAUUAGUGUAAGUUAUAAGCUGACUUCCAAGGGAUAAGUUGUAUCAAGAAGUUAAAAACUUGUACUGAUUUAGCAGAGUUAGCACUCCAAAGGGGUAUAAUUAGAGUCCCAUUCCCAGACGCAAAGGAAGACAGAGGUUGCAUUCAAGGCCUUAGAUUGGCCUUUUGCUGGUGGACAUAGUACCAACACAAGGAAAUGUUCCUUGGGACAUAUUCAGCUUUUAUU
Long non-coding RNA from Columba livia (rock pigeon), 5101 nucleotides. RefSeq lists it as uncharacterized. Lineage: Eukaryota; Metazoa; Chordata; Aves; Columbiformes; Columbidae. The transcript is spliced from 4 exons. The record is from RefSeq and is a predicted model, not a curated record.